UGAAAUCCCCGGGCUCAACCUGGGAACUGCAUUGGUGACUGGCAGGCUAGAGUAUGGCAGAGGGGGGUAGAAUUCCACGUGUAGCAGUGAAAUGCGUAGAGAUGUGGAGGAAUACCGAUGGCGAAGGCAGCCCCCUGGGCCAAUACUGACGCUCAUGCACGAAAGCGUGGGGAGCAAACAGGAUUAGAUACCCUGGUAGUCCACGCCCUAAACGAUGUCAACUAGUUGUUGGGGAUUCAUUUCCUUAGUAACGUAGCUAACGCGUGAAGUUGACCGCCUGGGGAGUACGGUCGCAAGAUUAAAACUCAAAGGAAUUGACGGGGACCCGCACAAGCGGUGGAUGAUGUGGAUUAAUUCGAUGCAACGCGAAAAACCUUACCUACCCUUGACAUGGUC
This 396-nucleotide ribosomal RNA is filed under the name Burkholderia sp. Its description in RNAcentral is "bacterial SSU rRNA". It matches the Rfam family "Bacterial small subunit ribosomal RNA", at positions 595 to 991 of the family's 1533-position model. The record is from RNAcentral. Lineage: Bacteria; Pseudomonadati; Pseudomonadota; Betaproteobacteria; Burkholderiales; Burkholderiaceae.